UUCGCCGGAGAUGGCAAGUAAACUAGUGGUCCUGUGCGCUAUACUACACAACAUCGCGGUAAGGAGUAGCGUAGAGCUUCCUCAGACAGAGGAAUUGCCUGAUGAGGAGCCAGGGGUUGUCCGACACUUCGGUGGGGGGAGUGUUACACGGAGGGGGAGCCAAGUCAGGGCAAGCAUUGUUGCGGAAUAUUUCAGGUAUAGUGUUUUAAGUUUCUCUUUUUUAAUCAAAAUAAAACCACAGUAUGCUUUUGUAUUUUGAUUAAUUUUGUCAUUUUGUUUGCUAUUGUAAGGCCAUUGGGUAAUUAUUUUUUGGCUUUGGAAUAUGUAAUAUUUAUUUGCCACUAAAUCCGUUAACACGUUAAGCUUACAAUGUGUUAUUUGCAAAAACAAUACUGUGAUGUUGCUAAAUAGUGUCCUUAUUUGUUUUCUAUCCUAAAAUCCUGUUUAUUUCAACAAACACACAAACAAAUGAAACUUAAUGUUGUCCACUUUGUGACUGUCCAGCUGAAUGAUCACACAAACUGUGGACGACCACAACGGCAAGCAACACAUAAGGCACCAUCUCAGCCCCCUUCCCCUUCUCACUCCCCCUCCACUUCCCAGUCCCCCUCCCCUUCUCACUCCCCCUCCCCUUCCCAAUCCCCCUCAGCUUCCCAGUCCCCCUCAGCUUCCCAGUCCCCCUCUGCUUCCCAGUCCCCCUCUGCUUCCCAGUCCCCCUCAGCUUCCCAGGCCCACUCCACUUUCCACUCCCCUUCUCACCCCACCUCUCCUUCUCUUUCUGUGACCCCUUCUCCUCCUUUCCAUACCCCUUCUCCUUCAACUUCCAAAUCACCUUCUCAGCCCCCCUCACCCUCUAUUGGCCUAACAUUCUCUCCGCCCCCCUCGCCCUCUCAAUCAGACCCACCCUCUGAAAUAACAUCCCCAAUCCCUCCUCCUUCCCCCAUCCAGCCUCCUUCCCCCAUCCCUCCUCCUUCCCCAAUCCCUCCUCCUUCCCCCAUCCAGCCGCCUUCCCCCAUCCAGCUGGCAUCACCACCCAGCGAAUGGGCAGAAGAAGCCCCAGAUGUGCUAAGUGACAAUGUUGUGGAGGAAAAUUCUGCAGUUGGAGAUCCCAGCACUUUGCCUGAACUUUUAGGGCGGCUGAAAGCCCAUUUAAGGGAAGUGUUAGCAGAUAUCGAGGCAAUAGAAAAAAAU
Molecule: long non-coding RNA, 1191 nt
Organism: Pseudophryne corroboree (corroboree frog)
Lineage: Eukaryota; Metazoa; Chordata; Amphibia; Anura; Myobatrachidae
Exons: 3
Source: RefSeq, a predicted model, not a curated record